RNAcentral lists this ribosomal RNA (497 nucleotides) under uncultured bacterium. RNAcentral describes it as "partial 16S ribosomal RNA". It matches the Rfam family "Bacterial small subunit ribosomal RNA", at positions 28 to 507 of the family's 1533-position model. The record is from RNAcentral.
GAUGAACGCUGGCGGCGUGCCUAACACAUGCAAGUCGAGCGAACGGAUGAGAAGUUUGCUUCUCUGAUGUUAGCGGCGGACGGGUGAGUAACACGUGGAUAACCUACCUAUAAGACUGGGAUAACUUCGGGAAACCGGAGCUAACACCGGAUAAUAUUUUGAACCGCAUGGUUCAAAAGUGAAAGACGGUCUUGCUGUCACUUAUAGAUGGAUCCGGGCUGCAUUAGCUAGUUGGUAAGGUAACGGCUUACCAAGGCAACGAUGCAUGACCGACCGGAGGGGGUGAUCGGCCACACUGGAGCUGAGACACGGUCCAGACGCCUGCGGGAGGCAGCAGUAGGGAAUCUUCCGCAGUGGGCGAAAGCCUGACAGAGCAACGCCGCGUGAGUGAUGAAGGUCUUCGGAUCGUAAAACUCUGUUAUUAGGGAAGAACAUAUGUGUAAGUAACUGUGGACAUCUUGACGGUACCUAAUCAGAAAGCCACGGCUAACUACGUG